This 951-nucleotide ribosomal RNA is filed under the name Dothideomycetes sp. genotype 658 JMUR-2016. RNAcentral's name for it is "eukaryotic LSU rRNA". The stretch from base 420 to 951 matches the Rfam family "Eukaryotic large subunit ribosomal RNA", at positions 1 to 545 of the family's 3401-position model. The record is from RNAcentral. Lineage: Eukaryota; Fungi; Ascomycota; Dothideomycetes.
UCUGACACUGUUGCCUCCGGGGCGACCCGGCCUGCCUUCGGGCGAUUCGGGGCCCCGGGUGGACCAUUCAACUCUGCAUCUUUGCGUCUGAGUAAAUGAUUGAAUCAAUCAAAACUUUCAACAACGGAUCUCUUGGUUCUGGCAUCGAUGAAGAACGCAGCGAAAUGCGAUAAGUAAUGUGAAUUGCAGAAUUCAGUGAAUCAUCGAAUCUUUGAACGCACAUUGCGCCCCUUGGUAUUCCGAGGGGCAUGCCUGUUCGAGCGUCAUUACACCACUCAAGCCUCGCUUGGUAUUGGGCGCCGCGGUCCGCCGCGCGCCUCAAUGUUUCCGGCUGAGCUCUCUGUCUCUAAGCGUUGUGGUUAAAACUAUCCGCUUGCGAGAUCGGGGGGCGUCUGGCCGCUAAACCAUUACUCAAAGGUUGACCUCGGAUCAGGUAGGGAUACCCGCUGAACUUAAGCAUAUCAAUAAGCGGAGGAAAAGAAACCAACAGGGAUUGCCCUAGUAACGGCGAGUGAAGCGGCAACAGCUCAAAUUUGAAAUCUGGCGCAAGCCCGAGUUGUAAUUUGUAGAGGAUGCUUCUGGGCAGCGGCCGGUCUAAGUUCCUUGGAACAGGACGUCACAGAGGGUGAGAAUCCCGUAUGUGAUCGGUUGGCACCCGCUACGUAGCUCCUUCGACGAGUCGAGUUGUUUGGGAAUGCAGCUCUAAAUGGGAGGUAAAUGCCUUCUAAAGCUAAAUACCGGCCAGAGACCGAUAGCGCACAAGUAGAGUGAUCGAAAGAUGAAAAGCACUUUGGAAAGAGAGUUAAAAAGCACGUGAAAUUGUUGAAAGGGAAGCGCAUGCAACCAGACUUGUCCGCGGUGUUCCGCCGGUCUUCUGACCGGUCUACUCGCCGCGGGCAGGCCAGCAUCAUCUGAGAGCGCCGGAUAAAGGUAGCGGGAAUGUGGCCCCUC